RNAcentral lists this ribosomal RNA (463 nucleotides) under uncultured bacterium. RNAcentral describes it as "bacterial SSU rRNA". It matches the Rfam family "Bacterial small subunit ribosomal RNA", at positions 339 to 795 of the family's 1533-position model. The record is from RNAcentral.
CUACGGGAGGCAGCAGUGGGGAAUCUUGCGCAAUGGGCGAAAGCCUGACGCAGCGACGCCGCGUGGGUGAUGAAGGCCUUCGGGUUGUAAAGCCCUGUGGGGAGGGACGAAUAAGCGCCAGCCAAUACCUGGCGUGAUGACGGUACCUCCUUAGCAAGCACCGGCUAACUCUGUGCCAGCAGCCGCGGUAAGACAGAGGGUGCAAACGUUGUUCGGAAUUACUGGGCGUAAAGCGCGUGUAGGCGGUUGUGUAAGUCGGAUGUGAAAGCCCUCGGCUCAACCGGGGAAGUGCACCCGAAACUGCGCGACUUGAGUCUCGGAGAGGAUAGUGGAAUUCUCGGUGUAGAGGUGAAAUUCGUAGAUAUCGAGAGGAACACCGGUGGCGAAGGCGGCUAUCUGGACGAUGACUGACGCUGAGACGCGAAAGCGUGGGGAGCAAACAGGAUUAGAUACCCGAGUAGUC